RNAcentral lists this ribosomal RNA (176 nucleotides) under uncultured bacterium. Its description in RNAcentral is "partial 16S ribosomal RNA". It matches the Rfam family "Bacterial small subunit ribosomal RNA", at positions 337 to 526 of the family's 1533-position model. The record is from RNAcentral.
UCCUACGGGAGGCAGCAGUGGGGAAUAUUGGACAAUGGGCGCAAGCCUGAUCCAGCCGUGCCGCGUGAGUGAUGAAGGCCCUAGGGUUGUAAAGCUCUUUCGCCCGUGACGAUGAUGACGGUAACGGGAGAAGAAGCCCCGGCUAACUCCGUGCCAGCAGCCGCGGUAAUAAUCUC